GACAGAGGUUGCAAACGUUGUUCGGAAUCACUGGGCAUAAAGCGCACGUAGGCGGUCCACUAAGUCAGGUGUGAAAGCCCCCGGCUCAACCGGGGAACAGCAUUUGAUACUGGUGGACUCGAGAGUGGUAGGGGUGAGUGGAACUCCAGGUGGAGCGGUGAAAUGCGUAGAUAUCUGGAGGAACACCGGUGGCGAAAGCGGCUCACUGGACCACAACUGACGCUGAGGUGCGAAAGCUAGGGUAGCAAACGGG
This 253-nucleotide ribosomal RNA is filed under the name uncultured bacterium. RNAcentral's name for it is "partial 16S ribosomal RNA". It matches the Rfam family "Bacterial small subunit ribosomal RNA", at positions 524 to 776 of the family's 1533-position model. The record is from RNAcentral.